CCUCCUUACCAAAAUGUCGAUGGUGACAUUGUUAGUGUAGUGCCUACACAAAUUGUCUUGUUUAAAAGUUUAAAGAAGUGCCCUAGAGCGCUUAAGUUUGAUUGCAAAAUCAAACUUAAGUGCUUUCUUUGAAAGCAUUAUGUUCUUUAACAAUUUGGAAAGCUGAUAUUUAAUUAGUAAAUCAAUCAAAAUUUGAGUAAUUGAGAAGUCGAAAGACGUACUUACUACUCUACUUGACUUGAAUUGCUUGUUAUCAAUCUUAAUUUGAUAAGCAAGGCAAUUUCACGAUUAGCUUGUCAUGCAUUACAACUGGAGUUUAGAUCUCAUCCAAGUCCCUGGAUUUUCAAAAGGNGGGGAGAAGCUUUUUCCGCCUCAAACCAAUUGUUUUAAAUAUUCACUUUCCGGGUUGUGUUAUUUAAUGCCAAUUGGGGGCGUAAGGUUAAACAGUUUCCUUAGGUUCCUACCUAAAUUCCCACGAAAUUAAUGUGGAAAGGCCUACAGUUUCUUUUUUAAUUAAUGGUAACCCUGGAAA
Molecule: unclassified non-coding RNA, 532 nt
Filed under: uncultured Alteromonadaceae bacterium
Lineage: Bacteria; Pseudomonadati; Pseudomonadota; Gammaproteobacteria; Alteromonadales; Alteromonadaceae
Description: partial 16S-23S ribosomal RNA intergenic spacer
Source: RNAcentral